Molecule: transfer RNA, 76 nt
Filed under: Deltaproteobacteria bacterium RBG_16_42_7
Lineage: Bacteria; Deltaproteobacteria
Also listed under: 3 other names
Description: tRNA-Val
Rfam family: tRNA
About the family: Transfer RNA (tRNA) molecules are approximately 80 nucleotides in length.
Source: RNAcentral
GGGCGGAUAGCUCAGUUGGUAGAGCGCAGCCCUUACAAGGCUGAUGUCGCAGGUUCGAUCCCUGUUCCGCCUACCA